Non-coding RNA from Cinara cedri, 594 nucleotides. The record is from the annotation of a GenBank genome assembly. Lineage: Eukaryota; Metazoa; Arthropoda; Insecta; Hemiptera; Aphididae.
CAAUGUUAACGUUUUCAUUGUUUUUAUUAUGUUUACACAAUGUUUUCUACUAAAAAUAUUGUUCCAAUCCAAAAAUAAUAAGAUAUCGAUUUUGCUCCUUUUAAUAUUCCGCCACCUUCAUAGUCGUUUUUUAUUAUCUCAAGUAUUUUUCAUUAUAAUUGGGAAAAACCAAAAAAGACAAAAUAAAUGAUUUUUUUUUCAAAUUACGGCACAGUGAAUUUCAUUACUUAUAUUAUAUUUUCUACCAUAAAUAUUGUAUCAAUAGGUAAAAGACAAGGUACUUUUUUUAUUCGUUUUUUGAUUUUAUUUGGUAGUUUUUGUAGUAAUUUAUUAUUUUUAAUUUGUUUUAGAUUCUAGUGCAAUAAUAGAGCGAAGAAGCUUAUGGUUUUACCAAAAUGUUUAUUUUUAUUUAUUUUUUUAUGUGAUCACUUUUUCUACCUCAAAGCUUACUCCGAUGUAGUCCUUUUUCUGAAGGAAAUUUUUUUAGGGUGGUACUUAUAACUAUAUAAGUAAAAUGUUCUUAUUAUUUUUUUUUUUUUGACAACUAUUCUACAGGCAAUUAUGCUCUGCUUUACAGUGAUAGCACUAUUUCUA